Molecule: ribosomal RNA, 213 nt
Filed under: Proteus mirabilis
Lineage: Bacteria; Pseudomonadati; Pseudomonadota; Gammaproteobacteria; Enterobacterales; Morganellaceae
Also listed under: 1 other name
Description: partial 16S ribosomal RNA
Rfam family: Bacterial small subunit ribosomal RNA
Source: RNAcentral
UGAAGUCGGAAUCGCUAGUAAUCGUAGAUCAGAAUGCUACGGUGAAUACGUUCCCGGGCCUUGUACACACCGCCCGUCACACCAUGGGAGUGGGUUGCAAAAGAAGUAGGUAGCUUAACCUUCGGGAGGGCGCUUACCACUUUGUGAUUCAUGACUGGGGUGAAGUCGUAACAAGGUAACCGUAGGGGAACCUGCGGUUGGAUCACCUCCUUA